This 419-nucleotide ribosomal RNA is filed under the name uncultured bacterium. RNAcentral's name for it is "bacterial SSU rRNA". It matches the Rfam family "Bacterial small subunit ribosomal RNA", at positions 338 to 748 of the family's 1533-position model. The record is from RNAcentral.
CCUACGGGAGGCAGCAGUGGGGAAUAUUGCACAAUGGGCGCAAGCCUGAUGCAGCCAUGCCGCGUGUAUGAAGAAGGCCUUCGGGUUGUAAAGUACUUUCAGCGGGGAGGAAGGGAGUAAAGUUAAUACCUUUGCUCAUUGACGUUACCCGCAGAAGAAGCACCGGCUAACUCCGUGCCAGCAGCCGCGGUAAUACGGAGGGUGCAAGCGUUAAUCGGAAUUACUGGGCGUAAAGCGCACGCAGGCGGUUUGUUAAGUCAGAUGUGAAAUCCCCGGGCUCAACCUGGGAACUGCAUCUGAUACUGGCAAGCUUGAGUCUCGUAGAGGGGGGUUAGAAUUCCAGGUGUAGCGGUGAAAUGCGUAGAGAUCUGGAGGAAUACCGGUGGCGAAGGCGGCCCCCUGGACGAAGACUGACGCUC